UUAGCGUUUUGAUUAAAUGCUUCAAAAUAUUACCAACGAAAGGUUAUUAGUGUAAUUACAUAAUAACAUUUAAUUAAAUAUAAUUUUAAUAAAAUUAUUUCAUUGGAAAUGUAUUUCAGGAUUCUCCUCUAUUUUUGGACCUUAUAAAUACCCCCUGACCAGACCACUUUCAAGCAUCCAAAAGGCAAUUCAUUCAAAGCUUUGAACGAUCUACGCGUAGGGCUUCAUCUUCUCCCUCUUCAAAUGGCGCUUCGUAAAUUACUCUCGAAGCGUCUUUCUGAAACGUACAGACUGGCCUCACCGGCGGUUACUCUAGAACACCAAGCCACACUACCACCAAAUGCAGCCAAAACCAACUUUCACACAGAGUACCUGACCUUGCCGGAAUCCUCCGAGAAAGGAUGUUUCCGGCGAUUCCUUCAUCGGAAAGCCAUCAACCAGUUGCCUGAGUUCCUCUCCCUGCCAGUCGGAGAGAAGCUGAGGGAGAAGCUCAAAGGCAUCAACAACAUUACCGGAGAACGGCUGCGCCUGGAUGGACUCGCUUCUCCGGUGAAGGAAACGGUUGCCAAAGAUCCUAAUCUGUUUGGAUUUUCGAUUGAGGAUGCGAGGAAACUUCUGAGGCUCUCUCUGGUGGAGAAGCUAAAGGCGAAGCUCAGGGAGAUUCCGAGGAGCUCAAUUUCGUACUCUGAGUUCGUUCAGAUGUGUAUUGAGGAGUGUGGGAAUGAAAAUCAAGGAAUCGAGUUUGCUAAGACGUUGGACCAGUCCGGAAACGUCAUCGUUAUGGGGAAUAUUGUGUUCCUCCGGCCCGAGCAGGUAUUAAAUUUAACAUUUUCCCUUAUUUAAAAAAAAAAUAGUAAUAUUAAUAAUAAAUAGGAACCCAUCGGCUUUGUCAUUGGAAAAAGCUUGUGUGACUCGUGUGUGUGGACCCAAAUCGAGCUUGUCCCAUCCAGGGAAGUCUGUAUCUGUACCGUAAGGAAUAGAAUUAUAUGGAAAUCAGUUGGAUCUGAUUCUUUGAAACUGUGAGUGGCCUUGUUUAGUUUCUAGAAAUGGGUUGCAAGUGGCAUUCAUGAAAUUGUCUCAGGUCCACUUGCUUUCCGAGGCUUCUUCCCGGUGAAAAUGCCGAACGUGGUAGUGAUAUUCUGAUUAAGCCCACUACUUUACCCGUUAAAUUACCUAAAAAUUUCAACAAAUUAAUAUGCUCAACGAUCUAAAUUUGUUUUCUGUGAUUGAUAGGUGGCCAAAUCAAUGGAGAAUAUAAUCUCUCAAUCGAUAUCCACUCGAAAUGACCCAAGAAGAAAAGAACUGGAGCAAAUGGAGCAACAAAAGGCCGUAAUCGACCAAAAGGCCCGAAGCCAAGUUCGGGGUGAGCUUUAUUGUGGAUUGGGCUUCCUGCUGGUACAAACACUUGGGCUCAUGAGACUCACUUUCUGGGAGCUCAGCUGGGAUGUUAUGGAGCCCAUAUGCUUCUUUGUCACCUCGCUUCAUUUUGUCCUGGCCUAUGCUUUCUUUCUUAGGACAUCCGUUGAGCCUUCUUUUGAAGGAUACUUCCAGCGAAGGUUCAAGGCCAAGCAGAAGAAACUCAUGCAAGUCCACAGCUUUGAUAUGGAAAAAUAUAAAGAGCUUCGAAAAGCGUUUUAUCCAAACUUGGGUUAUGGGCUUCCUCACUCGGAACAUUAUAAGCAAUUGAACCGCGAUGAGGGAGCAUUUCUUAGAUCAAUGCACCAUUGAAAUAAGUUAGUAAAUUUCUAGCAAUAAAUAGUAAAAAAGAACCAAAGUUUUGAUGAUGAACCUAGAUGGACUGAGAAGUUUUGUUGAACUCAGUGAUAGCCUAAAUUCAUGUUUGGAAUCUGUACAUUACAGGAGGAAUAAGCCCUGAUAUAUUGAACUUAUAUUUUGGAGGACAAUCACCAGAUUGGCCUGAGGACCUAGCGCCAGAAUCAGUUGUAUCAUGGUCGACAUGUCAAUUGUCCACUAUGGUUAUGCAAUAGAUUCCCCAGCUAAAAUGUUCUUCAUUUUCUCCUUUGUGAAGCAUACAUGUCCGAAUACAA
RNAcentral lists this unclassified non-coding RNA (2048 nucleotides) under Hevea brasiliensis (rubber tree). Lineage: Eukaryota; Viridiplantae; Streptophyta; Magnoliopsida; Malpighiales; Euphorbiaceae. The record is from RNAcentral.